This 689-nucleotide ribosomal RNA is filed under the name Plagiozopelma flavipodex. RNAcentral describes it as "SSU rRNA". It matches the Rfam family "Eukaryotic small subunit ribosomal RNA", at positions 539 to 1165 of the family's 1831-position model. The record is from RNAcentral. Lineage: Eukaryota; Metazoa; Arthropoda; Insecta; Diptera; Dolichopodidae.
GACCUAUUGGAGGGCAAGUCUGGUGCCAGCAGCCGCGGUAAUUCCAGCUCCAAUAGCGUAUAUUAAAGUUGUUGCGGUUAAAACGUUCGUAGUUGAACUUGUGCUUCAUACGGGUGGUACUCCUAAAAUUUGGGUUAGUACAUUACCUUAUUGUAUGUAAGCGUAUUACCGGUGGAGUUCUUAUAUAUUAUAUAAUUAUUUAUAUAAUAUAUUCCUCCUAUAUAAACCUGAUUCAAUGCUCUUUACCGAGUGUUGUUUUGGGCCGGUACAAUUACUUUGAACAAAUUAGAGUGCUUAAAGCAGGCUCUUAAUGCCUGAAUAUUCUGUGCAUGGAAUAAUGGAAUAAGACCUCUGUUCUAAUUUCAUUGGUUUUUAGAUCAAGAGGUAAUGAUUAAUAGAAGCAGUUGGGGGCAUUAGUAUUACGACGCGAGAGGUGAAAUUCUUGGACCGUCGUAAGACUAACUUAAGCGAAAGCAUUUGCCAAAGAUGUUUUCAUUAAUCAAGAACGAAAGUUAGAGGUUCGAAGGCGAUCAGAUACCGCCCUAGUUCUAACCAUAAACGAUGCCAGCCAGCAAUUGGGUGUAGCUACUUUUAUGGCUCUCUCAGUAGCUUCCCGGGAAACCAAAGCUUUUGGGCUCCGGGGGAAGUAUGGUUGCAAAGCUGAAACUUAAAGGAAUUGACGGAAGGGC